GGAAACAAGCAGCUAUUGACAGGAUCAUUUGGAAAACUAAAAAUUACCCCGGUACUCACGUGAGCCUUCUGAAUGAGAUUCAAGAACAGUUUUAAUGCUUGAUGAGGAUGGAAGACAAACUUUAUUGGGGUGAAAAAUGAAUAAGAGAUGAAAAAAAUGGAGACAGAGAGCAUGCGGCCUUCCUGCGAGGAACACAGUCUGAGGAAACAUACAACUCUCACAUGAUUGUUCAAGUGCAAAUUCUGCGCCUCUUGAUCACAGAUCGUGCCUUAUGUGCAGAGUCUAUCCUGGUGACCUCCUAAUGGGAGAGUCAAAGGAAAACCAACUCCUUCGUUCUCCUCUUCAGUGUUUACCAAACUGUUCUCCUCAAUGAAAACAUACCGUCCCACUUCUAUCAGCAGAGUUCAAUGAAACAAACAGAACUACUAUUUGUCUCUGUCGGACCCUGGUUUUCAUAUUUGAUGCUGGAGCUCCAAGACUGC
RNAcentral lists this long non-coding RNA (482 nucleotides) under Equus caballus (horse). RNAcentral describes it as "lncRNA (ENSECAG00000057212.1)". Lineage: Eukaryota; Metazoa; Chordata; Mammalia; Perissodactyla; Equidae. The record is from RNAcentral.